Long non-coding RNA from Ruditapes philippinarum (Manila clam), 995 nucleotides. RefSeq lists it as uncharacterized. The record is from RefSeq and is a predicted model, not a curated record. The transcript has 2 exons. Lineage: Eukaryota; Metazoa; Mollusca; Bivalvia; Venerida; Veneridae.
UUAACCCUUUCCCCCAUGAGCAUAUUGUGAAAAAUGGCCAUUUUCACUGAAAAGCCUCCUGUUACAAGUUCAAACUGCUAUGAAACUAUGAAAAAUGCUGCAAUACUAAUCAAACUUGGCACAAAUGUUGACUGGACCAUUGCUUUUGUAACGACAUGCUCAGUCUUUAAUUUCCUGUUACCAUGGCAACGAGGGACAUCUCAAAAUUGCCAAAAAAUCACUUUUUUGCCUCGAUUUUUUCCAUCAAAAUUUAUUUCAAAGUGCUGCAACUUCUCAAGGGAUUGAGAUAGAGUCAAAGGCUUUUCAGCGUUGGUUACACGUUACCUUAUGAUCGACCUGGGGUCAUUUUAAGCCUCUCACAAGUCCAAAAUUUUCUUGGCGAUGAGGGGGACUCCGCCCCCCUUCAAACCCCCCAAACAGAAGGGGGCACAUCCCCCUUCUGGCAACCCCCGAUGUUAUAUUUGGAUGGGGGACGGCGCCGAAAAAAUGGUCACUUUUUUUAACAACAUUUCUCAAACAAAAGACAGUGUUUGGGGCCUAAAUAGGGCAUUUUUUAACUGUUUGAGGCCUCAAAAAGGGGGGGGGGCAAAAAGCCGUCGAAACACGCUUAUAUAAGGGAAAAGGUUAACAAAAAAUGAUGAAAAACCUUGGAAUCGCCCAAAAUCCAGUUUUUCCAUGUUAACAUGUGGUCUUUUACCUAAUUUUGGUGAAAAAUUGUUGUUUUGUAACAUUUAUAAUUUUUUUAGUUAACAAAAAAUGAUGAAAAACCUUGGAAUCGCCCAAAAUCUAGUUUUUCCAUGUUAACAUGUGGUCUUUUACCUAAUUUUGGUGAAAAAUUGUUGUUUUGUAACAUUUAUAAUUUUUUUAGUUAACAAAAAAUGAUGAAAAACCUUGGAAUCACCCAAAAUCUAGUUUUUCCAUGUUAACAUGUGGUCUUUUACCUAAUUUUGGUGAAAAAUUGUUGUUUUGUAACAUUUAUAAUUUUUUUAGUUAAC